This 888-nucleotide unclassified non-coding RNA is filed under the name Hevea brasiliensis (rubber tree). The record is from RNAcentral. Lineage: Eukaryota; Viridiplantae; Streptophyta; Magnoliopsida; Malpighiales; Euphorbiaceae.
AAUAUAUAGCGGACGAGUGCAUCUAAUAAUUUCUCGGGGCAUUCAUCUUUACUCUUUUGGUCCUGGGGAAACAGAACGAACACCUUCAUUUCCCUUCCCUAGAAGAAUUAGAGAUGAGAAUAAACCCAGGUGAUGCCCGGUGGAGGAAGACACUAUAACACGUGGAUGGUCUUCACAGUUACAAGAUUCUUCUUAAUUCAGUUAGCCGCUAACAUCGUCCAGUGGCUACCAGUGGCCGCAAUUGCUGAAUUUGAGGUCCACCUCUAUCCUUAAAAACUGACCAUGACACACCACACCACUUAGCAUCUUCCACUUGCUAAAUACCACAGGCAGGGCGCAGCCCAGAUUCUUCAGAUAAUCGUUAGUGAUGAAGAAGAUAAUGGAGGUGACAUGGCUGGCUGUGGUUUCUAUAUGAAAACAAGGUAAUGUCCUAUGAUUCUAAUCCAGAAUAGAGAAAAAUUAUAAAUGGAUGAGAUUUGGAUCAUUUUGUUUUGGAUGCUUCUGCUAUUUUCUAGCUCUAGAUUGAUACUUUCAUCCUUGAAAUGGUAUAUGGGCUAUGGAAAAAUCUUCACUGCGCUGGCACUGAUGUUUUCACUUGAUUGGGUCUUGUGUUUGUCUUAUGAUAGCAGAUUUCUCUUUCACAUCAAGACCCAAUCAACUAUUAUGAAGGCCUCGUGGGCAGAAAAUAAUAUAUGUGUCUCCAUUUUUCGAAUCUCAUAUAUGUGUUCAAUUGUCAGAUUGUUGGCCUCAAAUUUACUAAUGGGCUUGUACCGAUUUUUACUGGCCGAAACCCAACCCAUUUUCUAGAUUCUGUUGUUUACUUGUUUUUAAUCUUCCUUGAUGCAACCAUCAAGAACCUUGGCAAAACAAACGGGACUUCUAUUUUAG